Dermochelys coriacea (leatherback sea turtle) is the source of this 207-nucleotide long non-coding RNA. RefSeq lists it as uncharacterized. The transcript has 3 exons. The record is from RefSeq and is a predicted model, not a curated record. NCBI's taxonomy places the organism in Eukaryota, Metazoa, Chordata, Testudines, Dermochelyidae.
GGAGGGGGGAGGAAUAAAGGUUCUCUCUAUCUAUGUGUUGCCUUUGCCGCGACCAGAGCAGGAAGGCAGGUCAGAACUCCAGUAAAGAGUUAGUAAGCAAUCUAGUUAGAUAUGCGUUAGAUUCUGUUUUGUUUAAAUGGCUGAUAAAAUAAGUUGUGCUGAAUGGAAUGUAUAUUCCUGUUUUUGUGUCUUUUUGUAACUUACGGU